RNAcentral lists this ribosomal RNA (200 nucleotides) under uncultured bacterium. RNAcentral's name for it is "partial 16S ribosomal RNA". It matches the Rfam family "Bacterial small subunit ribosomal RNA", at positions 8 to 215 of the family's 1533-position model. The record is from RNAcentral.
AGAGUUUGAUCAUGGCUCAGAUUGAACGCUGGCGGCAUGCUUUACACAUGCAAGUCGAACGGCAGCGCGGGGUAACCUGGCGGCGAGUGGCGAACGGGUGAGUAAUAUAUCGGAACGUACCCAGAAGUGGGGGAUAACGUAGCGAAAGUUACGCUAAUACCGCAUACGCUCGAGAGAGGAAAGCGGGGGAUCUUCGGACC